GAUGAACGCUGGCGGCGUGCUUAACACAUGCGAGUCGAACGGUGAAGGCGGAGCUUGCUCUGCUGGAUCAGUGGCGAACGGGUGAGUAACACGUGAGCAAUCUGCCCCUGACUCUGGGAUAAGCGCUGGAAACGGCGUCUAAUACUGGAUACGAGCUGCGAAGGCAUCUUCAGCAGCUGGAAAGAACUUCGGUCAGGGAUGAGCUCGCGGCCUAUCAGCUUGUUGGUGAGGUAACGGCUCACCAAGGCGUCGACGGGUAGCCGGCCUGAGAGGGUGACCGGCCACACUGGGACUGAGACACGGCCCAGACUCCUACGGGAGGCAGCAGUGGGGAAUAUUGCACAAUGGGCGAAAGCCUGAUGCAGCAACGCCGCGUGAGGGACGACGGCCUUCGGGUUGUAAACCUCUUUUAGCGGGGAAGAAGCGAAAGUGACGGUACCUGCAGAAAAAGCGCCGGCUAACUACGUG
Molecule: ribosomal RNA, 468 nt
Filed under: uncultured bacterium
Lineage: Bacteria
Description: partial 16S ribosomal RNA
Rfam family: Bacterial small subunit ribosomal RNA
Source: RNAcentral